CUACGGGGGGCAGCAGUCGCGGAACUUUUACAAUGCACGCAAGUGUGAUAAAGCAAGCCAAAGUGUUUUUCGUAUAGAAAAACUUUUUCUUAGUGUAAAAACCUAGGAGAAUAAGGACUGGGAAAGACUGGUGCCAGCCGCCGCGGUAAUACCAGCAGUUCAAGUUGCAUCCCUUUUUAUUGGGUCUAAAACAUCCGUAGCUUGCCGUUUAAGUCUCUUGUGAAAUCCUACGUCUCAAGCGUGGGGCUUGCAGGAGAUACUGGACGGCUAGAGAUCGGUAGACGUAAGGAGUACGCCGGGGGUAAUGGUAAAAUAUGUUAAUCCUCGGUGGACUAACAAUCAGCGAAGGCACCUUACGAGGACGAAUCUGACAGUGAGGGAUGAAGGCCAGGGGCGCAAAACGGAUUAGAUACCCCUGUAGUC
Molecule: ribosomal RNA, 423 nt
Filed under: uncultured archaeon
Lineage: Archaea
Description: partial 16S ribosomal RNA
Rfam family: Archaeal small subunit ribosomal RNA
Source: RNAcentral